RNAcentral lists this long non-coding RNA (322 nucleotides) under Gallus gallus (chicken). RNAcentral's name for it is "lncRNA (ENSGALG00010006786.1)". Lineage: Eukaryota; Metazoa; Chordata; Aves; Galliformes; Phasianidae. The record is from RNAcentral.
UAUUUCCGUUAUUUCCGUUAUUUCUGUUAUUUCCGUUGUUGUUCUUGACCUGUCACUUAAUAUUCUGCCGUAUGUUUCUGUGUCUGUGGAGGUUAUUUCCGUAUUUGCCUUAUUUCCGUUAUUUUUUCCGUUAUUUCCGUUAUUAUUUCUGUUAUUUCAAUUAUUAUUACCCUUAUUUCGUUUUUUUCCUGUUAUCUCCGUUGUUGUUCUUGACUAGUCACCUAACUUUCUGCCGUAUGUUUCUGACUCUCUUGAGGUUAUUUCUGUUCUUUGCGUUCUUUGCGUUCUUUGCGUUCUUUGCGUUCUUUGCGUUCUUUCCGUU